RNAcentral lists this ribosomal RNA (256 nucleotides) under uncultured bacterium. RNAcentral's name for it is "partial 16S ribosomal RNA". It matches the Rfam family "Bacterial small subunit ribosomal RNA", at positions 524 to 774 of the family's 1533-position model. The record is from RNAcentral.
UACGUAGGGUGCAAGCGUUGUCCGGAAUUAUUGGGCGUAAAGAGCUCGUAGGCGGUCUGUCGCGUCUGCUGUGAAAACUCGGGGCGUUAACCCCGGGCUGGCAGUGGGUACGGGCAGACUAGAGUGCGGUAGGGGGAGACUGGAAUUCCUGGUGUAGCGGUGAAAUGCGCAGAUAUCAGGAGGAACACCGGUGGCGAAAGGCGGGGUCUCUGGGGCCGUAACUGACGCUGAGGAGCGAAAGCGUGGGGAGCAACGG